AAAUGGGUGGUCUGAGGCAA
Molecule: microRNA, 20 nt
Filed under: Homo sapiens (human)
Lineage: Eukaryota; Metazoa; Chordata; Mammalia; Primates; Hominidae
Description: hsa-miR-4506
Source: miRBase by way of RNAcentral